This 72-nucleotide transfer RNA is filed under the name Camelus bactrianus (Bactrian camel). It matches the Rfam family "tRNA". Rfam says of the family: Transfer RNA (tRNA) molecules are approximately 80 nucleotides in length. The record is from Rfam by way of RNAcentral. Lineage: Eukaryota; Metazoa; Chordata; Mammalia; Artiodactyla; Camelidae. RNAcentral also lists the same sequence under 1 other name.
GAGGGUAUGGCUCAGUGGUUGAGCUUAUGCUUAGCACGCACGAGGUCCUGGGUUCAAUCCCCAGUGCCUCCU